This 549-nucleotide ribosomal RNA is filed under the name uncultured bacterium. RNAcentral's name for it is "bacterial SSU rRNA". It matches the Rfam family "Bacterial small subunit ribosomal RNA", at positions 356 to 896 of the family's 1533-position model. The record is from RNAcentral.
AGGGAAUCUUCGGCAAUGGACGGAAGUCUGACCGAGCAACGCCGCGUGAGUGAAGAAGGUUUUCGGAUCGUAAAGCUCUGUUGUAAGAGAAGAACGAGUGUGAGAGUGGAAAGUUCACACCGUGACGGUAUCUUACCAGAAAGGGACGGCUAACUACGUGCCAGCAGCCGCGGUAAUACGUAGGUCCCGAGCGUUGUCCGGAUUUAUUGGGCGUAAAGCGAGCGCAGGCGGUUAGAUAAGUCUGAAGUUAAAGGCUGUGGCUUAACCAUAGUAGGCUUUGGAAACUGUUUAACUUGAGUGCAAGAGGGGAGAGUGGAAUUCCAUGUGUAGCGGUGAAAUGCGUAGAUAUAUGGAGGAACACCGGUGGCGAAAGCGGCUCUCUGGCUUGUAACUGACGCUGAGGCUCGAAAGCGUGGGGAGCAAACAGGAUUAGAUACCCUGGUAGUCCACGCCGUAAACGAUGAGUGCUAGGUGUUAGACCCUUUCCGGGGUUUAGUGCCGUAGCUAACGCAUUAAGCACUCCGCCUGGGGAGUACGACCGCAAGGUUG